Molecule: long non-coding RNA, 279 nt
Filed under: Elaeis guineensis (African oil palm)
Lineage: Eukaryota; Viridiplantae; Streptophyta; Magnoliopsida; Arecales; Arecaceae
Description: long non-coding RNA (EGUI_LNC000066)
Source: RNAcentral
AUCAUCUCCAUCGAUCUUUUUCUCUAGAAGUUCCUUUCUUGAUCUUUUUCUCUUUUUUUUGGAUUUCUUCUCUUCUCCUUUUCAUGGCUUCCACUGGAAGAGAAUCUGAAGAUGAGAAUCCAAUCGAUGAUCGGAGUUCUCGAGCUCCAACCGUCCAGAGGGUGAUCAAGAAGAUUACUUGGGAUGAGCCCGAUAAGGCAUCUUCUCAGCAGGGUCAGUCGGAUCUGAAUGAGUCAGAUGAACAACCAACUGUCGAGAACCUUUUUGGACCUCUUGUCG